CAGCAGCCGCGGGAAAACGAAGGGGGCUAGCGUUGUUCGGAUUUACUGGGCGUAAAGCGCACGUAGGCGGAUCGAUCAGUCAGGGGUGAAAUCCCAGAGCUCAACUCUGGAACUGCCUUUGAUACUGUCGAUCUGGAGUAUGGAAGAGGUGAGUGGAAUUCCGAGUGUAGAGGUGAAAUUCGUAGAUAUUCGGAGGAACACCAGUGGCGAAGGCGGCUCACUGGUCCAUUACUGACGCUGAGGUGCGAAAGCGUGGGGAGCAAACAGGAUUAGAUACCCGAGUAGUCCCUGUCUCUUAUAC
RNAcentral lists this ribosomal RNA (301 nucleotides) under uncultured bacterium. RNAcentral's name for it is "partial 16S ribosomal RNA". It matches the Rfam family "Bacterial small subunit ribosomal RNA", at positions 509 to 807 of the family's 1533-position model. The record is from RNAcentral.